RNA transcript from Equus quagga, 2598 nucleotides. It is a transcript of the gene named ubiquitin conjugating enzyme E2 U, with no coding region annotated. The record is from RefSeq and is a predicted model, not a curated record. The transcript has 10 exons. Lineage: Eukaryota; Metazoa; Chordata; Mammalia; Perissodactyla; Equidae.
UACACCUGCGAGGCCGGGACAUCCCCGGCUGGGGCUGCGGCGCGCGCAGGCAACACGGGGCUCCCAGGUGCUCAGCCAGGUGCGCCUUGAUAAGGCCGGGCUGGGCUGUGGACUGGCCCUGCAGCGGCACGCCGCGGUCGAGAAGGCGUCCACGUUUUCCUCCUGGAAGUCCUCGUUUAGUGGAGUCAGAGGAGAAAAGAAAGUCACCGUUGUAUGCCCGACGUAGAAGCCACUCAUCCUGGGAGCACCCCGCGUUCUGGAGCUCUAGGAAGCCAGUAACUUAUGUCAGUUGCCUGGGUGUGGAGGGUGACCCCUAAACCUCAGACGCCUGCCUCAGAGUCACCCCGCGGAGCGUGGGGACAGAUCCUCUGCUGCCUUAUCAUGCACUGCAGAGCCUACUUCUUGCUGGAGAAAGACUUCCUGGAGUUGAAGGAGAACAAUUAUCCGGGUAUUGCUGCCUUUCCUGUAAGUGAAGAUCUGUUGGAAUGGGAAGCUGAAAUUGAAGGUCUGCAGAAUACCAUUUGGCACGGAUUACCCUUCCAACUAACGAUAAAUUUUACACCGGAGUACAAUUUUGUCCCUCCAACUGUGAAAUUUAGAACAAUUCCUUUUCAUCCAAAUGUAGACCUAUAUACUGGCCGGCCCUGUAUAGACUUUUUGGACAAUCCUGAUAAGUGGAGUACAAGCUAUACAUUGAGCAGCAUCCUACUUACCCUCCAGGUCAUGCUCUCUAACCCAGUGCUAGAAAACCCAGUGAAUUUGGAAGCAGCCCAAAUUCUGAUUAAAAAUGAACAUAUGUACAGCCUGAUAGUUCUAAGACUUUUCGACCAGCCAGUACAAUUGAAAGAUGACUAUCCUGAGUUACGUAAAGACCCAGAUAAAUUUAUCAGAUCAAUUAAAGUAGUCUCAUUUGACGAUUACUACAAGACAUGGUCUGGAAUAGCCACGUCAAAACCCACAGACUAUUACAGAACUCCAUUCAAUUCAGCAAACGCAUCUCGAGUACUUACUACGUGUGAGGCACUGAAGAGCUCAGAAGGAAUCCUGGGGGCGGUACCCUCAACAAACACAGUGUGCAGAGGCACUUGGCACCCUCUGGGGACCGACUCAGUGUCCAACUGCUUCAACCGAAAAACAAGCUGAGUGGUAUAGGAUGGCGCUUCGUGGAAUGACAGACGAGAAAACCAAGACCAAGAGAAGGUAUGUGAUUUACCAAAGGUCACACAUAUAGGAGGGAACAUUAUAUAUUGGUAAAGAGUGCAAAUUCUGGAGCCAGAUUGCUGAGAUUUAAUCCUGCCUCUCCCAUUUACUAACAUGUGACCUUGGGUAAGUUUCUUAACCUCUCUGUGUCCCAUUUACCUCAUCUGUACCAUGAGAAUAGUUAUAGCAUACCCCUCACAGGGCUGGAGCCCUGCAAGAGUGCCCAGCACCCAGUGAGUGGCUGUUAUUAAUUACUGCAGGUAGCCUGUGGCCCAAGGACUGGAACCAGAUCUGACUCCACAUUUGUCGCUCUUUCUCUCAUACUAUACAGCCUCCAGAAUAUGAUAUAAAGUUGUUUUCUCUGUAAACCCUGAGAUUUAAAUUCAAACUCUGAAGUCUAUGCAACACAUUUUUCAAUAAUUGUAAUUAUUAGUUUAUAGUCACAGACAAUCAUAUGGGACAAUGUACUGAUGACCCACGGUUCUCUGCCCAUCACUACAGAAUGGCAAAGAAAAAGUUUGGCAGAGAACAAAUCAGCACAUGUGGUUGUGGGCAACAGCACAUUAAUGACAGAAGAUGAUCCUCAUAAGGAAAUGUUCAUCUUUGGGGAAGAGAAUUCCUUCAGACCAGUGUGCUCUGGAACCGUGAGUGCAGGCUUCCUGUGUGUGCUUGCUGUCAUCGAAACAGUCCUACCAGCCUGAAGCGUCCUGGGUUGCUCGCUUUCACCCUAGGAGACCUUCAUUCUUUGAGCUUUGAGCCAGCAACACCCCGCCUCCAAGAUGCAUCAGAUGCAAAAAGCAAUGUUGUCUAAGUCUGACGCACUGGCUCUCAGGCUGGACCGCUCCUCUGAACCACCAGCAGAGCCUGUAAAAAUUCCCACCUCAGCCCCAACCCAUCAGGAUCUCUGGGAGCAGGACCAGGCGGGAGUAGUUUGUGAAGCUCCCCAGGUGGUUACAGUGUGCAGCCGAGGUUAGAAGGGCUCUGGCGGGCAGAGCGUGACGUCCACGGUUAGAGACUCCUCCGCCCUCGACUAGUUUUGCGCAUACAGUUAAGAGAAUUUAGACUCUUGCUUUAGGAAAGAUCAGGAUCUGGAAUGUCGCUUCCAACUCCAGGAUUCUAUUUUGCCGCUUGAAGUGCUGAGUCAGAAUUUUGUUAAACUAUGGUGUCUGCAGUUUCUAUGUGAGUUAUUUUAACACCUUCUUCAUGACUACAAAUUAUAUGUAAACAAAUGUCUUUAUAAUGAAAAGUUUUAAAGUCACAAUCUACUUAUUUUAAACAAUAUCUAAUAUUACAAAGUUCAAAUAAAAGGAAGAAAUUUGGAAAGUGUCCGAGCAUUGUAACGUGACUUGAACUGUAGAGUGUGCGUCAUUGCCACAUAUCGACUUAAUGAAGUCUAUC